RNAcentral lists this ribosomal RNA (428 nucleotides) under uncultured archaeon. RNAcentral's name for it is "bacterial SSU rRNA". It matches the Rfam family "Archaeal small subunit ribosomal RNA", at positions 474 to 903 of the family's 1478-position model. The record is from RNAcentral.
UACCCGCAGUCCGAGUGGUAGUCGAUUUUAUUGGGCCUAAAGCGUCCGUAGCCGGUCUGGUAAAUGCCUGGGUAAAUCGUCUGGCUUAACCAAACGAAUUCCGGGUAGACUACCAGACUUGGGACCGGUUGAGGGAGAGGGUACUUCAGGGGUAGGAGUGAAAUCUUGUAAUCCCUGAAGGACCACCAGUGGCGAAGGCGCUCUCCUAGAACGGGUCCGACGGUGAGGGACGAAAGCCAGGGGAGCAAACCGGAUUAGAUACCCGGGUAGUCCUGGCCGUAAACGAUGCGGGCUUUGCAUUGGGGGUCCUACGUGGGCGCCCAGUGCCGUAGCGAAGGCGUUAAGCCCGCCGCCUGGGAAGUAUGGUCGCAAGGCUGAAACUUAAAGGAAUUGGCGGGGAGCACCGCAAUGGGAGGAGCGUGCGGUUU